RNAcentral lists this unclassified non-coding RNA (382 nucleotides) under Salvia splendens (bonfire salvia). RNAcentral describes it as "partial external transcribed spacer". Lineage: Eukaryota; Viridiplantae; Streptophyta; Magnoliopsida; Lamiales; Lamiaceae. The record is from RNAcentral.
CGACGGCAUCUCCUCCACGCCUCUUCAAUUGUCGGGACGAGCGUUUGCUCGUCCGAUUUYGGUUUUCCUGUGCGGACUACCUAUCGAGAUGGCAUUGAGUCRGCUAUGAUCGUUCUUUUCCCGCCUUGUCCCGCCGCUCCGCCUGGGGCGGCGGCAUCGGGUGGGCCCAAUCGCGCACGUUGCGUGUCGCACCGCGUUCGCCUUCGGUGGCGUUCGGGUUGACGACCCGCAGCGUUAUGCUCGAUCUCUCGGGUACGGUGCAUGACGUGGGUACGAGGCCGGCGGCCUCCGAGCUCCACAAACAAGCGUUCGUGCGAACGACUGUCGGUUCGGUAUUUGGCCGUGCUCCCGUAGCUCGGCUCAAGCCGUGCCGACGUCGAUG